GUUAUUUGGUAGUACGUAUAUUAAAACUGGAACGUUACAGAGAAGAUUAGCAUGUCCCCUGCGCAAGGAUGACACGCAAAUUCGUGAAGCGUUCCAUAUUUUC
RNAcentral lists this small nuclear RNA (103 nucleotides) under Octopus vulgaris (common octopus). Lineage: Eukaryota; Metazoa; Mollusca; Cephalopoda; Octopoda; Octopodidae. The record is from RNAcentral. RNAcentral also lists the same sequence under 1 other name.